Molecule: ribosomal RNA, 253 nt
Filed under: uncultured bacterium
Lineage: Bacteria
Description: partial 16S ribosomal RNA
Rfam family: Bacterial small subunit ribosomal RNA
Source: RNAcentral
UACGUAGGGUGCAAGCGUUGUCCGGAAUUAUUGGGCGUAAAGAGCUCGUAGGCGGUCUGUCGCGUCGGAUGUGAAAAUCCAGGGCUCAACCCUGGACCUGCAUUCGAUACGGGCAGACUAGAGUUCGGUAGGGGAGACUGGAAUUCCUGGUGUAGCGGUGAAAUGCGCAGAUAUCAGGAGGAACACCGGUGGCGAAGGCGGGUCUCUGGGCAACAACUGACGCUGAGGAGCGAAAGCGUGGGGAGCGAACAGG